RNAcentral lists this ribosomal RNA (281 nucleotides) under uncultured bacterium. RNAcentral describes it as "partial 16S ribosomal RNA". It matches the Rfam family "Bacterial small subunit ribosomal RNA", at positions 28 to 313 of the family's 1533-position model. The record is from RNAcentral.
GACAAACGCUGGCGGCGUACCUAAGACAUGCAAGUCGAACGGGACUGACCGCUUUCGAGUGGUGAGUCGAGUGGCGGACGGGUGAGUAACGCGUGGGAACCUGUCGCGCGGUGGGGUAUACCGCCGGGAAACCGGCGCUAAUACCGCAUGCGCUCUCAUGGAAAUGAGAGCAAAGCAGCAAUGCGCCGUGUGAGGGGCCCGCGUCCGAUUAGCUGGUUGGUGGGGUAAUGGCCUACCAAGGCUGCGAUCGGUAGCUGGUCUGAGAGGAUGGUCAGCCACAC